This 778-nucleotide long non-coding RNA is filed under the name Sorghum bicolor (sorghum). RNAcentral describes it as "long non-coding RNA (SBIC_LNC015084)". The record is from RNAcentral. Lineage: Eukaryota; Viridiplantae; Streptophyta; Magnoliopsida; Poales; Poaceae.
UAUAUCAUAUAUCAAGAGACGCCACCUCUUCUUUUUUAUUUCCUUAUGAUAAAUAACAGGAUUUUCACGGUCUCAUAGAUUUAGGGGGGCAGCGGCAAUUUCUCAAGCAAUUCUCGUUCGUCGAAUAACAAUUGUCCUGUGAGCAGCAGUAGCAGACAGCUUCAGAUGAUCCCGUUGCGCAGGUCCCGAUCUGGCAUGGGCACACAUGAACAACAUUCCGAGCUGCAUGCACAUAAGGGCGAUAUCACUUAAACAAUUAGGUAAAGUAAACCUAAACUUUACAGUACUUUAAGCAGGUUGUCUCUGUUCCUCGAACUGGACAGUAUGGGAACCAUUUAUAUUUACUGAACACUAGCUACUCCUUUCAUGUCUAGACGUACAGUAAAAGUACUUCCUCCAUUUUAAAUUAUAAGUUGAUUUCACUUUUUUCGUACAUAGAUUUUACAUGUAUCUAGACAUAUAUUAUAUCUAGAUGCAUAGUAAAAUAGAUGUGCCAAAAAAAUGACUUGUAAUUUGGAACGAAGAGAGUAAUAUAUUUUGAAAAGCUAAAACAUCAGUAAUAAGUAAUUUUAUCUAAAUGCGCCUAGUCGUAUGAUGUGGACUUACAGUGCGUAGGAAGCAUGAAACAUCCGAGGAUCAACAUUAAGAACAGGACCGCCUUGCUUCCUUCCAUUGUAAUUUUCACCAUACAAGGAGUUUCUCCGGAUCAGAGAUUGAUGUAUGUGUAUAUGUUUGACUACGGAAUGCUUGCUGCAAGGUUGAUAUAUAUAUGUGAAAG